UGCUGAUUUUAACUUUUCAUUUUUUAUUUUCAUUAUUGAGUGAAUAACGCUACUUAUCUACGCAAUUUUGGGACAAUCCUUGUAUAACAUUGUGAGUUAGUUUUUGAUAUUAAUAAGAAAUAUUAUGUGAACAACCCUGUUAGCGUUGCAAAGUUUUACAAACCCGAGAGUCAAAUGUCAUGACUUAUCUUAUGGCUGUAUGCUUACAAAUUACAAACAGUGUCUAUUUGUCCGUUUGUUUGUCUACAUGUAAAUGUACCUGUCUCUCUCUCUCUCUCUCUCUCUCUCUCUCUCUCUCUCUCUGAUAUAAAAGUGUGUGACAUAAAGUAACAUCUCUUCCGUUUACCAAAACACAUGAAUAAAAUGAGAGAGAGAGAGAGAGAGAGAGAGAGAGAGAGAGAGAGAGAGAGAGAGAGAGAGAGAGAGAGAGAGACUUUGAUAGAUCGUAAAGCCUGUUACAUAUCGAAAGAAGACACGUCUGUUGUUCAUUGGGAAAUAAAUCUAGACUGAGUGGUCUAAGGUGCGGCCUAAUUAGUGUAGAACGGUUGCCGUGGAGCCAUGCUGUGUCGUUUUUGUAUUAGAAUAAACAGGUCGGUCCGCGCUAUAGAAUUGUGUCAGAUGUUUACAAGCUUUGCAUUUCGAGGAUGCAAACAACGUAUUUGAUUACUGCAUGUAAACCAUGGAUGAAGAGGAGAAAAAUCAUAAGUCAAAGAAGACUCUUACAAAGCCUCCUCUGUUAUGUGCCGUGUUUUUCUCGAACACCACGUAAAAGGCUACACGCUCAGACUCGGAAGUUGCUGAGAUCAUAAUCCUACGUUUGAAUCAGAUGUCACAAUCUUAUUCAAGCGCCUGUUAAUGAAUCUACUGGCUGAAAGGAUCCAUUCAAAAGCAUUACCGGAGGGUCCAUAUUUUCUUAUGCACAUGAGGAUGUCAAUGCAUGAUCCAGCAACGAGGCUAAAAAACUGAGGAGUAAAUGAUGCCGAAACGUUCGAUGAUCCCAUUGAGCUACUUCUUAACGUCAACAUGAUUAUUAAUUUAAUUAUUACAUUAACACCCUGAUGCAAAAAAGUAUGUGUGAAUUAAGAAAAUUUCCUCGUCCACUUCACUACAGGAUUACAAACAACGAUUAGAUAGUGAAAACGUUCUAGAUAAGGAUGGAUGACUCUCCUACAUGUAACAAGAAACCCAAAGGAGGUAAACAAACAUGGUUUAAGUGCCGAAAAAUUCGUAGCAUAAGAGGAAUACCAAAACUUUUCCCAUUACCUUUAACGGCAUUUUUGAAGAAAGAAGUUUAAUCCACUUGACUGAUUUGAAAUGGUCAAUAAGUUGUCAUAUUGAUUACUACAAAUCAUCUGUGAAAAAAACUAAGCUAUAUAAGAACAGUAAGAAACAAUGCUGUGAAUAGAUAGAGACAUUUUUUUCGCACAAGAAGGAAAUAUGUCAAAUGUUUUCUAAAUAGUCAACUCUUCAUGAAAAAGAGAAAAUACGUGCAGACACAAUACAAAACGUGAUCAUGGAUGAUGAAAAAGUUACAAGUAAACCCUUUGUUUAAAGCAAGUAAUAAAAUGUUUCACUACUGUAAUUCUAAAAUACUUCAUGAUAUUUCAAUAUUCUUUGAAAUUUCUUUCUACACGUCUUUCUCUUUUUUUGAUGGCAAAAGGCAAUUAUGAGUUAUGAUGAUAUGUUGAUCUUUCUGGUGGAUUCACCAACUUUCUGAUCUUUUAUGUAAACUGAACAUAGCAUUCAUAUUGGUGGGCCCACCAAUUAUGUAUUCAAUAGCAGCAAUAAACUAAUUGUUACCGGCAGGGGGUUUCUUUGGUGAAUCCACCAACUUUGUAAUAUGUUUUUUAAUAAUUCGUAUAACUUGAUAUGUGGUGGAUCCACCAAGUAGGGGUAUUUUGAAUUUUGUCAAUCUUUUUGGUGGCUUCACCAACUUUCUUGUUUUGUAUAUAAACUGACAUGUGUUGCGGUGUUUUUGUUUAUUGAGUGCCAUCGAUGAAUGUUUAGAAACUUUUGGUGAAUGCACCAAUUUUGUACUCUAUAUUUGUUUGUUUAAUUCAUUUUGGUGGAUCCACCAAAUAUUUGGAUAAUGAAAGUCUGUAUUUAGGUGGAAUCACCAAUUAAGGUUUCUUUAAAACUGAAAUGUUUGAUAACAUGUGUUGCUCUCAUUGCUUUGUUGGUGGGUUCACCAAAUCUUUGAGUGAUAUACAAAACUGUAUGCGGACAAAUUCACAAUUGAAUUUUGGUGGAACCACCAGGGCACUGUGUGAAUGAGAUAUUUGAUGCUGUUUAAAAAAAUAGAACCGCCAAUAUUUUAUCAUUGGUGGACCCACCAAGUUUAUUUGUAAGUGAGAUAUUCGAUGAAAUAAGUUGGUGGAGUCACCAAUAUUUUGACUGUUAUUGUGGAAUAUGAAGGUUUAAAGGUACUGUAAAAUGUGCUUUUGUGUGAAAAAGAUGGUGGGUUCACCAAUUUAUGUUGUGUUCAACAACAAAAAUGAAUAAAAUUUAUGUUCAUUUCUGUUA
Long non-coding RNA from Magallana angulata, 2523 nucleotides. RefSeq lists it as uncharacterized. The record is from RefSeq and is a predicted model, not a curated record. Lineage: Eukaryota; Metazoa; Mollusca; Bivalvia; Ostreida; Ostreidae. The transcript is spliced from 3 exons.